GGGAUAACAGUUAGAAAUGACUGCUAAUACCGCAUAAGCGCACAGUGCUGCAUGGCACAGUGUGAAAAACUCCGGUGGUAUGAGAUGGACCCGCGUCUGAUUAGCUAGUUGGUGGGGUAACGGCCUACCAAGGCGACGAUCAGUAGCCGGCCUGAGAGGGUGAACGGCCACAUUGGGACUGAGACACGGCCCAAACUCCUACGGGAGGCAGCAGUGGGGAAUAUUGCACAAUGGGGGAAACCCUGAUGCAGCGACGCCGCGUGAGCGAAGAAGUAUUUCGGUAUGUAAAGCUCUAUCAGCAGGGAAGAAAAUGACGGUACCUGACUAAGAAGCACCGGCUAAAUACGUGCCAGCAGCCGCGGUAAUACGUAUGGUGCAAGCGUUAUCCGGAUUUACUGGGUGUAAAGGGAGCGUAGACGGUUGUGUAAGUCUGAUGUGAAAGCCCGGGGGUAACCCCGGGACUGCAUUGGAACUAUGUAACUAGAGUGUCGGAGAGGUAAGCGGAAUUCCUAGUGUAGCGGUGAAAUGCGUAGAUAUUAGGAGGAACACCAGUGGCG
RNAcentral lists this ribosomal RNA (557 nucleotides) under uncultured Lachnospiraceae bacterium. RNAcentral's name for it is "bacterial SSU rRNA". It matches the Rfam family "Bacterial small subunit ribosomal RNA", at positions 140 to 717 of the family's 1533-position model. The record is from RNAcentral. Lineage: Bacteria; Bacillati; Bacillota; Clostridia; Lachnospirales; Lachnospiraceae.